GGGAUGUGACGCUGUGGAUAGGGCGAGGAAAAGGAAGGAGGGUAGAAGUGACUAUUGAUACUAGGUGAAUGGAGAUCAGCACUCCUCAAAGCCACCAAAUAAUUGGCAAAUGGGUGAAGCAUGAACAGUUUUUUUCAAUGAGCUGAUGAAAGAUACCAGAUUGACAGCAACUAAGGAGUAAAAGCCCUUAGCUAUCCCCAUCACAGGUAGUGGUAGUAUAAGCUUCGCCACAGUGUCCCAGCACACUUAUUAACUAUGAACUAAAGGGAUCAUCUGUAGGGGGUUAGCAGGGCGAUGACCCUUUUUAUUCUCUAAGACAAAUGAGUACUUGGCUUCUGUUGAGACUGCUAAAAAGGGUGCCAAAUGAAACAAUGUGUUUGUGUUGUGGACACUGCUCCAAUAGAAACUAGACUGAGAGAACCAUCUUAUUUACCUAGGUCAAAAAGCCUACAACUUUCAGUCAUUACCAACCUGGUCUCAAUUAUAGGCACAGCUCCAUAACCCAUUACUAAUGUUGUAGAUGUGUAGUAGAGAAGUAACUGAGUCUACGAUUUCCAUAUUUAAAAUAUGUAACAGGAAAUCUCUGGGAAGAUUCCGUCCAUGUUUCUAAUCGAGACAUAACCCAAGAAGAAGAAGCCCUUCCUAAACUGUCUGUCCCAAGUUAUAUAUUGGGCCCACUGCAUGCUGAGACAGGACUUUAGAAAUUAACUUGUGUGAAUAUAAACAAGUUAAAGA
Long non-coding RNA from Mauremys reevesii (Reeves's turtle), 735 nucleotides. RefSeq lists it as uncharacterized. NCBI's taxonomy places the organism in Eukaryota, Metazoa, Chordata, Testudines, Geoemydidae. The record is from RefSeq and is a predicted model, not a curated record. The transcript is spliced from 3 exons.